CCAUGGGUCGGAUCUCAGUCCGAUUCCUUCCCGUCUUAUUCGAAUCCGAUGGAAUGAUUGGAAAUUUAUUGGAAUAUUUGGGGGGGGGGUUUUUUUUUUUUUUUUUUUUUUUUUUUGGCCCUUCCCUUAGCUGGCCCGCAGAACGGGGGUUUAUAAUUGAGUGCGGGCAGAGGGGGGUUCCUUUUUAACGGCGGGGCGUUAAAACCGGGUAACCCCUUGGAGCGGGAAAUCCGGAAACCGGGUUAACCCGAAGUGUUUGCACCCAAGUUAAAAAAAAAGGGGGUUGGGUCAAAAUAAAGAGGACCCGGCGCUUUAGUAAUUGUGAGGAAAGGUUACCAAGGGAAGGUGGUUGCCGACUUGAGAGGGAUUGGCCACAUGGGAUUGGACACGGCCCGAAUUUUAAGGGAGGCAGCAGUAGGGAUUUUCCGCAAUGACGAAAGUUUGACGGAGCCACGCCGGUUGAGUGAUGAAGGUUUUCGGAUCGUAAAGUUCUUUGUUAGGGAAGAACAAGUACCGUUCGAAUAGGGCGGUACCUUGACGGUACCUAACCAGAAAGCCACGGCUAAAUACGUGCCAGCAGCCGCGGUAAUACGUAGGUGGCAAGCGUUGUCCGGAAUUAUUGGGCGUAAAGGGCUCGCAGGCGGUUUCUUAAGUCUGAUGUGAAAGCCCCCGGCUCAACCGGGGAGGGUCAUUGGAAACUGGGGAACUUGAGUGCAGAAGAGGAGAGUGGAAUUCCACGUGUAGCGGUGAAAUGCGUAGAGAUGUGGAGGAACACCAGUGGCGAAGGCGACUCUUUGGUCUGUAACUGACGCUGAGGAGCGAAAGCGUGGGGAGCGAACAGGAUUAGAUACCCUGGUAGUCCACGCCGUAAACGAUGAGUGCUAAGUGUUAGGGGGUUUCCGCCCCUUAGUGCUGCAGCUAACGCAUUAAGCACUCCGCCUGGGGAGUACGGUCGCAAGACUGAAACUCAAAGGAAUUGACGGGGGCCCGCACAAGCGGUGGAGCAUGUGGUUUAAUUCGAAGCAACGCGAAGAACCUUACCAGGUCUUGACAUCCUCUGACAAUCCUAGAGAUAGGACGUCCCCUUCGGGGGCAGAGUGACAGGUGGUGCAUGGUUGUCGUCAGCUCGUGUCGUGAGAUGUUGGGUUAAGUCCCGCAACGAGCGCAACCCUUGAUCUUAGUUGCCAGCAUUCAGUUGGGCACUCUAAGGUGACUGCCGGUGACAAACCGGAGGAAGGUGGGGAUGACGUCAAAUCAUCAUGCCCCUUAUGACCUGGGCUACACACGUGCUACAAUGGACAGAACAAAGGGCAGCGAAACCGCGAGGUUAAGCCAAUCCCACAAAUCUGUUCUCAGUUCGGAUCGCAGUCUGCAACUCGACUGCGUGAAGCCGGAAUCGCUAGUAAUCGCGGAUCAGCAUGCCGCGGUGAAUACGUUCCCGGGCCUGUACACACCGCCCGUCACACCACGAGAGUUUGUAACACCCGAAGUCGGUGAGGUAACCUUUUAGGAGCCAGCCGCCGAAGGUGGGCACGAGAUGAUAGGGGGAAGUCGACCAACGUCGACCCCC
Molecule: ribosomal RNA, 1570 nt
Filed under: Bacillus subtilis
Lineage: Bacteria; Bacillati; Bacillota; Bacilli; Caryophanales; Bacillaceae
Description: bacterial SSU rRNA
Rfam family: Bacterial small subunit ribosomal RNA
Source: RNAcentral